This 1540-nucleotide long non-coding RNA is filed under the name Chinchilla lanigera (long-tailed chinchilla). RNAcentral's name for it is "lncRNA (ENSCLAG00000026970.1)". The record is from RNAcentral. Lineage: Eukaryota; Metazoa; Chordata; Mammalia; Rodentia; Chinchillidae.
AUAAUGAUUCACGCUGAAUUAAUUGUAUGACUGAGGAGCCUCACCCUGACCUGUAGACCUGAACAGCAACACAGGGGAUGAUGCACAGACAAGGUGUGGGUCUCAGUGUUAGGGCUGUGUGACUUCCAACAAAUGCAUUACUUCAUUUCUGAGCCUCAGUCUUCUUAUCUUUAAAAUGGGACUGAACCCAGCAUCUACCCCACAGAAUCACUGUAAAUAGAGGGUAAGUUACUGUCAGCGAUGGCAUGAGGACAGCAGGGACAUUCCCAGCACUGGUGACCUGCAUGGGUUGAGGCUGCCUCUGUGGCUACCCUAUCCCUAGCCGAGGACAAGACUGCCCACUUGGAAGCUCCAAGUCCUUCUGAGGAGCUCCUGGUGGAUCCCCAUGGCCUGGGGGGGUUGUCCGCACAUUAAUUGCUGUUGAAAGAGUGAGUACCAGGCACUGGAUACUACACAAGAACAGGAGCAGGUGCCGGGCAGUCCCUGGGUGGAGGGAGUGGGGCUUUGUUCUCACACCUCCACUCUGCAGUGCAGAGCGGCAGACCGGGCAGAGCAUGGAGGCCCCCGAGCUGGGCCGUGUGCACUGGCAGCACUGGGCCAGCAGCUGGUUGGACCGGGCGGCCGGGGAGAAAGGAAGAGGCUGGUGAGGGGAGAAGGGGAGCCGGGGCAACCUGCAACAGCCUUUGGUCCCUGGAGCGGGAGGCAGGGGAGCGGCAGAGCCGGGCAGAGGACCAUGUCAUGCAGGGAGGGCGAGGGAGGCCGAGGGUGGACAGUGCAGGAAGCAGACCUGGCAGAGGACCUGGCAAGGUGGCAGCCACCCAAUGGGUGAGUGCCACCCUGGAGAAGGAAGCGGCCAGAGGGAAGAGAAGAAGGAAAGGCCACCCGUGCUGGCUCGGGCCCCUGCAUGGACAUGAAGACUCCCGAACACUGGCCACCAGGUCCGAGUCCACGUCACUCACCCCGUGCCUGCACUGUCCACACAGUCAGCAGGAGCCGAGUAUCGAUCGUCCCACUCUCUUUCUCUCUGCAUCUAGUCCUGAGGAAACCUCCUCUUUCCUGGCUGCACCAGAACCCAGCAGCCUGUGGUGAGCCGUACUUUGCUGGGUUUUGGCUGAGCCCAGGAUCUGAAUGCUAGCUUCUCAACUACUACCGACUGGAAAGUGGGACCACUGCCUCACACAGCCCCAGGCUUCUCGUCUCUAAAAUGGGGCUACUCAAAUCAGUUGCAAUGGUUAAUUUAUUGUCAAUGAGGCUCUCCACAAAGCCCAGACAUUUGGUGAAAUUUUGUCCCUGAUGUUUCUGUAAGAAUGCCUUGUGACGAGAAUGACAUUUAAAUGGACAGACUGGAGGCCUGGAAGAGACCCUGCUACCCAGGAGGCUAAGGUCUGAGGCUUGUCUGAGGCCAGCCUAGGCAACAUAACACUAGAUCCUGUCUCAAAAAGCAAACACAAAUAAAUAAAUAUUUUACAAUAAAGCCUGGGAAUGUAACUCUGCGCGUGGCUUCAGGAGGUGCUGCGUGUGAUGCCCAGCACUGCAAAAG